This 253-nucleotide ribosomal RNA is filed under the name uncultured bacterium. RNAcentral describes it as "partial 16S ribosomal RNA". It matches the Rfam family "Bacterial small subunit ribosomal RNA", at positions 524 to 776 of the family's 1533-position model. The record is from RNAcentral.
UACGUAGGGUGCAAGCGUUGUCCGGAAUUAUUGGGCGUAAAGAGCUCGUAGGCGGUUUGUCGCGUCUGCUGUGAAAUCCCGAGGCUCAGCCUCGGGUCUGCAGUGGGUACGGGCAGACUAGAGUGUGGUAGGGGAGAUUGGAAUUCCUGGUGUAGCGGUGGAAUGCGCAGAUAUCAGGAGGAACACCGAUGGCGAAGGCAGAUCUCUGGGCCAUUACUGACGCUGAGGAGCGAAAGCAUGGGGAGCGAACAGG